GAUUUCUGGUCUGGUGCGCCUGGCCCGCGCCUCUUAGGUUGUGAGUGCCGGGUCGCGCCUGCCAUCCUUCUAGAGACCCUCUCUACCCUUCACUGGGCCGGAGACGGGCUUUCUAGAUCUUUUACUUUGAGAAAAUUAGAGUGUUUAAAGCAGGCUGUUAUUGCUAUGAAUACAUUAGCAUGGAAUAAUAAUUUAGGACUUCGGUUCUAUUUUGUUGGUUCUUAGGACUGAAGUAAUGAUUGAUAGGGAUAGUUGGGGGUGCUAGUAUUCAGUGGCCAGAGGUGAAAUUCUCGGAUUCACUGAAGACUAACUUAUGCGAAAGCAUU
Molecule: ribosomal RNA, 326 nt
Filed under: Allapsidae sp.
Lineage: Eukaryota; Cercozoa; Glissomonadida; Viridiraptoridae
Description: SSU rRNA
Rfam family: Eukaryotic small subunit ribosomal RNA (bases 68-326)
Source: RNAcentral